RNAcentral lists this ribosomal RNA (483 nucleotides) under uncultured bacterium. Its description in RNAcentral is "partial 16S ribosomal RNA". It matches the Rfam family "Bacterial small subunit ribosomal RNA", at positions 30 to 507 of the family's 1533-position model. The record is from RNAcentral.
AUUGAACGCUGGCGGCAGGCCUAACACAUGCAAGUCGAGCGGAUGAAGGGAGCUUGCUCCUGAUUCAGCGGCGGACGGGUGAGUAAUGUCUAGGAAUCUGCCUGGUAGUGGGGGAUAACGUCCGGAAACGGGCGCUAAUACCGCAUACGUCCUGAGGGAGAAAGUGGGGGAUCUUCGGACCUCACGCUAUCAGAUGAGCCUAGGUCGGAUUAGCUAGUUGGUGGGGUAAAGGCCUACCAAGGCGACGAUCCGUAACUGGUCUGAGAGGAUGAUCAGUCACACUGGAACUGAGACACGGUCCAGACUCCUACGGGAGGCAGCAGUGGGGAAUAUUGGACAAUGGGCGAAAGCCUGAUCCAGCCAUGCCGCGUGUGUGAAGAAGGUCUUCGGAUUGUAAAGCACUUUAAGUUGGGAGGAAGGGCAGUAAGUUAAUACCUUGCUGUUUUGACGUUACCAACAGAAUAAGCACCGGCUAACUUCGUG